CAAUCGAACCCGGAGAUAGCUGGUUCUCCUCGAAAUAGCUUUAGGGCUAGCCUCGCAUUAGUUUACCGGAGGUAGAGCACUGAAUGGUCUAGGGGGCCUCACCGCCUACCGAAACCUAUCAAACUGCGAAUGCCGGAUAAAUGAUGUGCGGGAGUCAGGCCGCGAGAGAUAAGUUCCGCGGUCAAAAGGGGAACACCCCAGAUCGUCUGCUAAGGUCCCCAAGUACGCGUUAAGUGGGAAAGGAUGUUGGAUUGCACAGACAACCAGGAUGUUGGCUUAGAAGCAGCCACACAUUCAAAGAGUGCGUAAUAGCUCACUGGUCGAGUGAUCCAGCGCCGAAAAUGUAACGGGGCUAAAACGCGACACCGAAGCAGCGGGAUGCGUAAGCAUCGGUAGAGGAGCAUUGUGUGAGGGUUGAAGCCAGAGCGGGAGCACUGGUGGACUUCACAGAAGAGAGAAUGCCGGUAUGAGUAGCGAGACCCAUGCGAGAAACAUGGGCGUCGAAGGCCCAAGGUUUCCUGGGGAAGGUUCAUCCACCCAGGGUAAGUCGGGACCUAAGCCGAGGACUGAGGUCGUAGGCGAUGGACAGCAGGUAGAGAUUCCUGCACCACUUACACUUGUUUGACGAAGCAGUGACACAGAAGGAUAGGACGAGCGCGGUGAUGGUCAACCGCGUAGGCGGCACGAGGCCGGGAAGCAGUGAAGUACACUUCCCGCGAAGGCUGAGUGUUGACAGGACCGAAAAGAAGUAGGGAAGCGUCCGAGUUCACGCUGGCGAGAAAAGCUGCUAAGGAGAGUGUGAGUGCCCGUACCGGAAACCGACGCAGGUGGGCGAGGAGAGAAUCCUGAGACGGACGGGAGAACUCUUGUUAAGGAACUCGGCAAAAUGACCCCGUAACUUCGGGAGAAGGGGUGCCUCGAAAGAGGCCGCAGAGAAUAGUCACAAGCGACUGUUUAGCAAAAACACAGGUAUCUGCGAAAGCGAGAGCUGACGUAUAGGUGCUGACGCCUGCCCGGUGCUGGAAGGUUAAGGGGAAGUGUUAGGGGAAACCCGAAGCAGAGAACCGAAGCCCCAGUAAACGGCGGCCGUAACUAUAACGGUCCUAAGGUAGCGAAAUUCCUUGUCGGGUAAGUUCCGACCCGCACGAAUGGCGUAACGACUUGUGAGCUGUCUCAACAGGAGGCCCGGUGAAAUUGAAGUAUGUGUGAAGAUGCACAUUACCCGCGACUGGACGGAAAGACCCCGUAGAGCUUUACUGUAACCUGACAUUGGAUCUUGAUAACGGAUGCACAGGAUAGGUGGGACGCUGGGAGACGAGGACUUUGGUUUUCGUGGAGCGGCCGUUGGGAUACCACUCUUCUGUUAUUGAGAUUCUAACCUCAAGCCGUAAGCCGGAUGAGAGACAGUGUCAGGCGGACAGUUUGACUGGGGCGGUCGCCUCCGAAAGAGUAACGGAGGCGCCCAAAGGUACCCUCAGAAUGGAUGGAAACCAUUCGAAGAGAGCAAAGUCAGAAGGGUGCUUGACUGCGAGACCAACAAGUCGAGCAGGUACGAAAGUAGGGCUUAGUGAUCCGGCGGUAAGAGAGUGGAAUUGCCGUCGCUCAACGGAUAAAAGCUACCUCGGGGAUAACAGGCUGAUCUCCCCCAAGAGUCCACAUCGACGGGGAGGUUUGGCAC
This 1678-nucleotide ribosomal RNA is filed under the name human gut metagenome. Its description in RNAcentral is "bacterial LSU rRNA". It matches the Rfam family "Bacterial large subunit ribosomal RNA", at positions 830 to 2524 of the family's 2925-position model. The record is from RNAcentral.